GGGCCCGUAGCUCAGCCAGGUAGAGCGGCGGGCUCUUAACCCGUAGGCCAGGGCUCUGGGCGGAAGUCCCGGGUUCAAAUCCCGGCGGGCCCGCCA
This 96-nucleotide transfer RNA is filed under the name Acidilobales archaeon. Its description in RNAcentral is "tRNA-Lys". It matches the Rfam family "tRNA". Rfam says of the family: Transfer RNA (tRNA) molecules are approximately 80 nucleotides in length. The record is from RNAcentral. Lineage: Archaea; Thermoproteati; Thermoproteota; Thermoprotei; Acidilobales.